AGGGGGUGUUUGGAUACGAGGUGCUAAACUUUAAUAGUGUCACAUCGAAUGUUCGGAUCCUAAUUAGAAAAAUUAAACAUAAGCUAAUUAUAAAAUUAAUUGCAGAACCCUGUGCUAAUUCGCGAGACGAAUCUAUUAAGCCUAAUUAAUUCACCAUUAGCAAAUGGUUACUGUAGCACCACAUUAUCAAAUCAUGGACUGAUUAGGCUUAAUAGAUUCGUCUCGCGAAUUACACUCCAACUGUGCAAUUAGUUUUGUAAUCAGUCUAUAUUUAAUACUUCUAAUUAGCAUCCAAACAUCCGAUGUGACAGGUGUUAAACUUUAAUAGGGUGGAGCCAAACAGGC
Molecule: long non-coding RNA, 345 nt
Filed under: Setaria italica (foxtail millet)
Lineage: Eukaryota; Viridiplantae; Streptophyta; Magnoliopsida; Poales; Poaceae
Description: long non-coding RNA (SITA_LNC002714)
Source: RNAcentral